RNAcentral lists this ribosomal RNA (373 nucleotides) under uncultured organism. RNAcentral's name for it is "bacterial SSU rRNA". It matches the Rfam family "Bacterial small subunit ribosomal RNA", at positions 526 to 897 of the family's 1533-position model. The record is from RNAcentral.
CGAGUGCCCCAAGCGUUAUCCGGAAUCAUUGGGCGUAAAGGGUGUGUAGGUGGUUUUGUUAGUCUUCUGUCAAAAUUCCACGCUUAACGUGGAACCUGCAGGGGAAACGGCAAGACUCGAGGAUGCGAGAGGUGAAUGGAACUCAUGGAGUAGGGGUGAAAUCCGUUGAUAUCAUGGGGAACACCGAAAGCGAAGGCAAUUCACUGGCGCAUUCCUGACACUGAAACACGAAAGCGUGGGUAGCGAACGGGAUUAGAUACCCCGGUAGUCCACGCCCUAAACGCUGAUCACUAGCUUUAGGAGGUAUCAACCCCUUCUGAGGCGAAGCUAACGCGUUAAGUGAUCCGCCUGGGUAGUACGGCCGCAAGGCUAA